This 468-nucleotide ribosomal RNA is filed under the name uncultured bacterium. RNAcentral describes it as "partial 16S ribosomal RNA". It matches the Rfam family "Bacterial small subunit ribosomal RNA", at positions 28 to 507 of the family's 1533-position model. The record is from RNAcentral.
GACGAACGCUGGCGGCGUGCUUAACACAUGCAAGUCGAACGGAAAGGCCCUGCUUUUGUGGGGUGCUCGAGUGGCGAACGGGUGAGUAACACGUGAGUAACCUGCCCUUGACUUUGGGAUAACUUCAGGAAACUGGGGCUAAUACCGGAUAGGAGCUCCUGCUGCAUGGUGGGGGUUGGAAAGUUUCGGCGGUUGGGGAUGGACUCGCGGCUUAUCAGCUUGUUGGUGGGGUAGUGGCUUACCAAGGCUUUGACGGGUAGCCGGCCUGAGAGGGUGACCGGCCACAUGGGGACUGAGAUACGGCCCAGACUCCUACGGGAGGCAGCAGGGGGGAAUAUUGCACAAUGGGCGGAAGCCUGAUGAAGCAACGCCGCGUGCGGGAUGACGGCCUUCGGGUUGUAAACCGCUUUCGCCUGUGACGAAGCGUGAGUGACGGUAAUGGGUAAAGAAGCACCGGCUAACUACGUG